Molecule: ribosomal RNA, 720 nt
Filed under: Bacillus cereus
Lineage: Bacteria; Bacillati; Bacillota; Bacilli; Caryophanales; Bacillaceae
Description: bacterial SSU rRNA
Rfam family: Bacterial small subunit ribosomal RNA
Source: RNAcentral
UCUUCUUUAUGAAGUUUAGCGGCGGACGGGUGAGUAACACGUGGGUAACCUGCCCAUAAGACUGGGAUAACUCCGGGAAACCGGGGCUAAUACCGGAUAACAUUUUGAACCGCAUGGUUCGAAAUUGAAAGGCGGCUUCGGCUGUCACUUAUGGAUGGACCCGCGUCGCAUUAGCUAGUUGGUGAGGUAACGGCUCACCAAGGCAACGAUGCGUAGCCGACCUGAGAGGGUGAUCGGCCACACUGGGACUGAGACACGGCCCAGACUCCUACGGGAGGCAGCAGUAGGGAAUCUUCCGCAAUGGACGAAAGUCUGACGGAGCAACGCCGCGUGAGUGAUGAAGGCUUUCGGGUCGUAAAACUCUGUUGUUAGGGAAGAACAAGUGCUAGUUGAAUAAGCUGGCACCUUGACGGUACCUAACCAGAAAGCCACGGCUAACUACGUGCCAGCAGCCGCGGUAAUACGUAGGUGGCAAGCGUUAUCCGGAAUUAUUGGGCGUAAAGCGCGCGCAGGUGGUUUCUUAAGUCUGAUGUGAAAGCCCACGGCUCAACCGUGGAGGGUCAUUGGAAACUGGGAGACUUGAGUGCAGAAGAGGAAAGUGGAAUUCCAUGUGUAGCGGUGAAAUGCGUAGAGAUAUGGAGGAACACCAGUGGCGAAGGCGACUUUCUGGUCUGUAACUGACACUGAGGCGCGAAAGCGUGGGGAGCAAACAAGAUUAGA